AAGUGGGAUUUGGCACCAUGUGCAAGCAAAGGGGAGCAGCAUAUGGUCAGUCCAUAGUACGUGACCAAGUCUGUGUGUGUUUUCAACACCUUGGCACCCCUGGGAAAGCUGUGGCCCUGGCUGUGUUAGCUCUAGGUGCAGGCUGGGCUUGGCCAGCGCCAGAGGGAAGAGGCGUGUAAUAUUCUCCUGCACUGCACACCCAGGCAGCUCACCAUCCCAUUUUGGGAGCCAGUCCAUUUCUGCCUGGCUGUAACAGCAGCCACAUACAGUUUUCUGCACUGAGUAGCUACUGUGGAUUUGCUUCCCUGUGGGUGCAGGCAGCUCCUUUCUGGACAGAGUCAUGAUGAUGCUGAUGUGGCAGAACAACUCCACUGCCAUGUGGGAGGGCUUGAUGCUGCAGCAGGAGGACUUGGAGAGCGUAAGCUGGAACCCAGUAAGUUUCAUGAGUCACCAUUGCUCCUAAAUUCCCUACCCCUUGGGAUGCUCCAGGUUUGAUGCACGCCUUAGGGAACCCCUGCUAGGACACUAGGCACUGGUGAGCCCCAGGACAGCCAUGAACAAAAUGGAAUUCAAGCAUGACCUAUCUCAUGGUUAUCACUCAUGUUGAGAGUAAGUUUACAUACAAUUUCCAUAAAACUUUGGGUGGGGAGCCUCAGAGAAGGUUAUAAUACCACUUGUCACCAAGUAGCUUCAUAAAGGCAAAUUGAAACGUAAAUCUACUGAAGAGGCCAUUUUAGAAAGGGAAGGAACUUAUUCCUCUUGCCAUCAGAAGCUCAGGGGCAUUCACAGGAGAUCCAUUUCCCUGGAGAAUAUACUUUCUGUUGAGCAGGAGGGGAUUAUGAUGACCGGAACAGCAAAGAGAGUGAGCAGGAAGGUCUAAAGGUGCUGGAGCAGUUUCAUUUUGUUCUUAUUUCCCCCUUCCAGCAGCACUACUGUGCACAGAGGCAUGAAAGGUGAGAGAGAUCUCUUUGCAUCAUACUGGGCCCUGUGGCAAAGGAGAUACCAGUCUGCCCCUGCAGCUAGAGGGGACUUUCAGAGCAGGAGUAGUCCAAGAAAUUACACUUACCUCACAGUUAGCUGACAGCAGAAGCUCCAAGCAAAGUCCUUCCAACCAUGAUGGUAUUAGCCACCUCCCUGAGCAGCCUCUUCUCUCUCGCCCAUGUCCACACACCAUCGAGAUGACUCUGCUCCCCAAAUAACCUCUGGAACUACUGUAGGAGCUCUAACAGCCUCAUUCAGGAGGGGUGAGAGCCUCAGUCAUCAAGGGUCAGCACUGAGGGCCAGGCAGUUCUGUGCUCCUCUGACAGGAACAGCUCCUCCAAGGUAUGACCUGACUUUGAAGCCAAGAGCUCAGAGGAUCAUCCUGAACAACUUUCUGGCACAUUCAAAGAUCUGCCUCUCUCUCACCUGCCAUUCACACAGACGUGCAAAGGGCAAGGACCAGAACUGAGGCCACCAGGGACCAAAUCUCCAUCCUCUUGCUUGACCAUUUGUCUUUAUCUCUGCUGAGUUUUUCACCUUUCCAGCAUUCUCACCUGCAGCUCAUUCACUGAAACACAGCAGGGUAUGUUACCCCAGCUGGCCAAAGCAAGGAUGAUUAACUGAGAAAAACAUAAAAUUUUAGGUGCUUUUCUGAUACCAAACAACACUUUUUCAGCAUGAAGAAAAUUUAAAUUACCCUAAUUUCAAGUUACUGGGAUCUCUUUUUUUUAAAAGGAAGAUACAAAUGGUUAAGGUUUGAGGCCUCCAAUAUAAAUAGAAACAGAUCACAUUUACAAGAUUAGGAUUUAGUACUUUUAGGUAAUAUUGUGAAUUUGAUAACAUUCAUGAUUUAGUAGGACUGCAGUGCAGAAACACUAAAUCUGCUUUGUGCUUUGGACAAAUCACUUAAUCACUCUGAUUCAUGGCAUCCAGCAUUAAUGGGAAGAGUCUCUUACACUAAACUUAUCACACAGGCAAGCUUUAUUUUGCCAAUCAGGACUGUGCCAGGAAAGUGCAAAUACCCAAAGAUUAUAGGCAAUGGUAAGAGAUGUAGCAAUAAGGAUGAUCUUGAUAAUUAUGUACCUUCAAAUGAGAGGAGAAACUUGUUCUAACUUGCAAAUGGAAUAAACCUGUCAUAGCUCUGAUAGGAGUCACCCAGGCUGGCAAGAACUAGGGAUUUUUUUUUCAGGUCUCUUUAAUAAACUGGUACCGUGGGGGAGUGGUGGAAGAUUCUGUGAGAAGUUCUGCUGAGAACACACUCCUUUGGUCCUCCGAAUUUUCAGAUUUCCCAAUCUGUUCUGCUUUCAACCACGCGCCAUUCUAGGUCCAAGCAACACUUCCCUGUCUAGCAGUCUGCUACAUUCACAGGUGCCUCACAAUGUCAGAGCAAAGACUUUGCAAAUAAAAGUCUAAGGAGAGCUCUAAAUAUUUGUUGGAUUAGGGCCUUACUUUGAGCUCUUAGUGCUGCUCAUAAGCCAGGGUCAGCCCCAAGAGCUACACUGACAUCACACGUUGGAAACACAGUGGUGAUUCAGCCCAAGAAAUUUUGCGGAGUAUUUUUUCCUCCCCAAUUUCUCUGAAACCAACAAAGGGAUAGAGAAGCCUGUGGCUGUUAUGAUCGCUGUUUCCUUUAGUAAACAACAUCAUUCUAGCAUUCUCCAACUCAGUUACUGUCUUUCCUAAUGGUUAAAUGCAGUCAUAAAGAAAGAAGGACAUCUCUUCAUUUAACCACAAAUUCAAAGCACAUCCAGAGAACUGAAUGUACCAGGGAAAUCCUGUAGGAAGAUGUUCUCUCACCACACCGCCAAUGAGACUGAAAAAGUGGAAACAGAGAAGACUUCUUGUUCAAAUUCACUUCUACAGAUACAAAAAAAUUUGGAAUAAUAUUAUACCUUCCUUUUCAGGAAGGUAUAAGUCAAUGAUAAAGUAGCCAACAGCUAUACUACCCCUAAGUUAUUCCUAGCAUCUAUUUAGGCAAGAAAAAGUUAAUCUUUAGGACCUUUAUAACAAUGUGCACAAAGAAAAGCAAAUCCAAGAAGCAUCUGUCAUCUCCGAGUCUGAGGGUGGUGCCAUUUUAAUUGCAUCAGCUCCAAGGAACAGGUUGGAUUAAAGGAAAAAAAAAAAAAAAGGAGCCACCAAACUAAUAUCUCAAGAACAUAAAACGCCAUCAGCAUGAAGGAAAAAAGGUUGGGAAAAGAUGUUAACAUUGAACUGAGUUGUGGUGCACUUGAUCCUGAUGUUACAUCUCCAAAUGGAGACAAAUGGAGCAUGUCUGCAUUUAAAGCCACUUUUACAACACAAGAGAAUGCUACAAUGGCACAAGGUUACAGGAGCAGGAGUCCCUGAGCAGGGACUGUUUAACCUUCGCCUCUGUCUCACACCUGAAGGGUUUGUCUCUGAAUGUUCUUCCUUGGCCCUUUCCUCUCUCAUCUCUUAACAUUGGGGGUUACACAACCAUUCAGCUGCAAACCAGUUUUGUUUUCAUUUUAGCUUUCACAACCUACCUGUUUUCUUUAAACAGGUACAAAGUAGUGAGGGGAUUUCUUUGUUACCUUUCACUGAAAUGUUCAUAUUAAGAUGGAAAAUUCCAGGGAGCAGUUAAGAACAGAGAAGGCAGGACUACCCUACAUCAAAGGGAAGCAACAUUUGCUAACUCUUUCAUUUUACAUGUAUGUGAUUCACGAACUGCUUCAUGAAAAUGGAAAAGUGAUCGAGGAAUCACUCAGGUCUGGAAAAAAAAAAAUAAACUAAUAGCAACAACCUAAUUUACAUGAAAAUGGGCUGGUCUCCAAAGCAUCUGCCAAGACCAGACACUGUAGUGCUUGCAGCUUUCCUUUGUUUGCUCUUCAAAGCAGGUAGAGCCAGGAAAAUUCCCGUGCCUCAUGGCAAGCUCUAAGAUGUGGUACAUGAUUUUCAGAUGAGGGAAUCUCACAUUUCUCCCUGAAUAUUUCACACUACAACAGCAAGGAGAAAAGCACAGACACAGCUGAAAUGAGGAGGAGAUGAAUUGAAAAGCUAAAAAUGUAUUCUUCAGCAUUACUCUGUAGUAUGGGGAACUGAGAAGGCAAUUAAAACCAACAUGAAAGGAGAUUUAAUUGCAAAUCAGCAAAACCUCCUGAAGCACAGAUAGCAAGAGUCAAAGAAACACCCCACCUGAAGCACAAGCCCUUCGCAGAGGAGAGCAUUGCCCUCAGCUCCACGGGCAGCUGAUGGGGAGAGACAGGCCCUUGCCAAGGUGCUGAGGGGCCCGAGGAGCCCCUCACUCUGCCGGGAUUCACCCUCACACACGGCCACAGCAGGGGAAGAGAUGCGGGACAAACCCAGCCGACCUCCCCUCCCCAUCCCUGCCGGGUCACCGCAUCCAGCGCUGAAGGGAAAUCCGAGGCCCCGAUGGGCCUGACUGAGCCCUGCCGGCCGCCUCGCCCCGGCCUCGCCUCCGGCACCGCGCCAUUGUUUCUGUGCCCGGGCUUUUAAAUCUGAGCUCCACGGACCCCAACACCUUCCCCGAGGACGGGGAGCCGGGAGAAGGGGAGAGGAGGCCCGGCAGCUGCUGAGGACACAGCGGGAGGACAGGCGAGACUGGUUUGGAGGCGGUGGGCAGCGCACGUAGGAAUGGAACGAGGCAGUGUUUCCAGUGAUCAUUGUGCAAAGGGACAACUCAAUAAGAUGGACCUUAGUGAACAGCAGCGUCUCACUGCUUGAGAUUCUGAAGGCCAGAAGCUUGUUCUUCACAUGGAAAACUUAGCCUGUUGAAAGAUGGCUCCAAAACGUGGGCUGUGCAAAGGACACAGCUGCCACCUCUUACCAAGGAGGCACCAGCCCUGGGAAGAGCCUGGUUCAGCAAAGCUGGAGCUGCUCACACACCCAGAUGCCUCCACAGCAGCUCCAACCUGAAGGAAUCCUUUGCCAACUGCAUGCCUCUCCUAGUGUAUUCCUGCCAGGAGAAAGCUGAUGGGACACUCCUCUCUCAGGCUGAGGUAGAAGCUAGUGAACAACUGUGACUCCCUGUGACACAGAAAUCACCAGAGUCACAAGUCCAGUUGUGUAAACUCAGUACUUUGCUUUCUUGGCAAGUACCUUGCAGUUAAGGAGGCACAGAGAGGCCUUGCUCCCAGGCAUUAAGAGCUUCAGCUGAAAAUCCUGUUUGAGGAACCAGUUCUGGAUUUCUCCUGUGAGACUUAAGGAAAAAAAUUUGAGGGGUUAAAAAGUGGCAGAAACGGGCACUUCUGAAGUUCUAUCUCCUCUGUGCAUAAGAGGUAAAGGAAACCAGGCAGCAGCCCUCUUCCUUUUCUGUUAGGAUUCCAGGCUGUGGAAUAAAGAUAAAUCCAAGUUCACUCUCCUGUCUUUGUUUCUAAGACUCAGUAAGACAGGGGAGAUAUGGCAGAGCCCAUCUGUGCAGCCAUAACCAUGGGAACACCAUCAACAAGGGUAAAUCAACAUGAGAUUCCCUAUCAUCAGUCUGUGUUUACCCUGGAGGCCUCAGGCUCCCUGCACCAACCUGGCUGGCAGUCCUGGACCUUGGUAUGGCUGUGGAACUAAGUAAGAACAGGGAUUUAUAAAACAAAUAUUCAUUUUUCUGUCCUAGUUCCCACCAUCUUAUAGAACACAUAUUUACAGCACCUGGUUUCUGCACUCUGCUUUGAAGCCAUGAUGCUGCCUUCCCCCUUCUCUCCCCCUGCCCAAGCUGCCCCAAACCUCAGCUUUUCCUUGACUCCUACCUCACAUUUGGCCUUGCCUCACUCCUUUUGUUUAGGAAAAGGUAGAAAGAGCUCUGGGUAUUUUCCUGAAGAUCAAACCCAGGGGAGGCAGCCCCAGUUGAGGCAAGGGCUGGUACCCCAGUGCAGGGAGCAGGGCAGCACGAAGGUAAAACAUUGCUCAACUGCAGUUGCAGCUGCUUGGCAUCUUAAAAAUGUGCAGGUCUCUGAACUUGCAGGGGUUGCGUCUGCACGCUGUGACACAGCCAAGGGUUGGAAUAUCAGGCAGCCCUGGAAGGAGCUGUUUGUACCUGCCCUUGGGAGCAGUUAUGCUUCACAUACUUUUCUCCUCCGCUUUGAAAGGUCACAUGGAAGAGCAGUAUUUGUGAAGGGGACGAGUGCUGGGGAGAAUGGGUACCUUGAAACAAACAUGAGAGCUUUUCCAGGUGAGCAGAAGCUCCUUCCCACUCCCAUUUUUUCUGGGGUGGCCACUGACAACAUCCACAGCCCAGCAACCACAAGCAUUUACUGCCUGGGCAGAGCCAGGGAGGGAUUGAUCCUGCCUCCCCUCAUUUCCUCAUUGCCUUUCCUCCUCCAUUUAUUUCCUUUGGGUUUUCCCCUUUGAUUAAACUUCUGGCAUGUUGGAAUGUUUAAUAAUAAAACAGAUAACUCAUGGGAGAUGAUAUUUAUAAAAUCUACUUCUUUUUUUUCACUUUUUGUAAGACCUUGAGAGAAAAUCUUGAACUACGUUCUUCCUUUUAAAAAUAAAAAACAAAAGCGGAAGGUGCAGUUAACAAGUUUUCAAACAAUCAAUGUUUUAUUUGGUUAAUUUAUUAAACACCUUUAAGACAAUUAAUUUUGGUCUGUACCCUUCUAUAAAAUGAUUCAAGUUCUGAACAAACCUCCGAUACAUAAAGCAAAGUUACUUUUACCAUACGCAAAUUUCAGAUCAAAAUACAACACUCUGUUUUCUUACAUUUAUAAAACCCAGUCAAAUACAAACAACAUUAAAAAAGAUAAAACACUUUCACUGAUCCUUGGUACAAUAUUACAGCACAAUUUGCACAGUGGCAACUAAGUCCUCAAAGCACAAGUCAAAUACUUUAAAAAGGGAGCCUCCCUUUAGUCACCCAACGUCCUACUGAACACGUAAACAAAGCGAGUGCUAGUGAAUCCAGGAAAAUUCCCGUGUCCCUUUUCAUACCAUGUGUGAGCCACGAAGCAAUUCUGCAAGGGAAGCUACUGGUGAGUAACCAAAGAGCUUUCCUACUUUGCUGUUACCAGGUUUUGUGCAACUACUCCAUGAAAAUAAACGAAUGGAGGUGGACCAGACUCUGCACUAGGCAAUUUAUGGCAACUAAAGUAAACCAAGAAAUGAGUGUUUUUCUAAAAACAGACCACAAAACUAUUUUUAAAAAAAAAA
Cyanistes caeruleus (blue tit) is the source of this 7098-nucleotide long non-coding RNA. RefSeq lists it as uncharacterized. NCBI's taxonomy places the organism in Eukaryota, Metazoa, Chordata, Aves, Passeriformes, Paridae. The record is from RefSeq and is a predicted model, not a curated record.